GAUGAACGCUGGCGGCGUGCUUAACACAUGCAAGUCGAACGAGAAGUGAAGACGGAAACCUUCGGGCGGAAGGCUUUAUUUCGAGUGGCGGACGGGUGAGUAACGCGUGGGUAACCUGCCUCAUACAGGGGGAUAACAGUUGGAAACGACUGUUAAUACUGCAUAAGACCACAGCACCGCAUGGUGCGGGGGUAAAAACUCCGGUGGUAUGAGAUGGACCCGCGUUCGAUUAGCCAGUUGGCGGGGUAACGGCCCACCAAAGCGGCGAUCGAUAGCCGAUCUGAGAGGAUGACCGGCCACAUUGGGACUGAGACACGGCCCAAACUCCUACGGGAGGCAGCAGUGGGGAAUAUUGCACAAUGGGGGAAACCCUGAUGCAGCGACGCCGCGUGAGUGAAGAAGUAUUUCGGUAUGUAAAGCUCUAUCAGCAGGGAAGAAAAUGACGGUACCUGAGUAAGAAGCCCCGGCUAACUACGUG
This 478-nucleotide ribosomal RNA is filed under the name uncultured bacterium. Its description in RNAcentral is "partial 16S ribosomal RNA". It matches the Rfam family "Bacterial small subunit ribosomal RNA", at positions 28 to 507 of the family's 1533-position model. The record is from RNAcentral.